Molecule: ribosomal RNA, 494 nt
Filed under: uncultured bacterium
Lineage: Bacteria
Description: partial 16S ribosomal RNA
Rfam family: Bacterial small subunit ribosomal RNA
Source: RNAcentral
GACGAACGCUGGCGGCGUGCUUAACACAUGCAAGUCGAACGGUGAAGCGCCUUCCUUUUUGGUGGGUGUGGAUGAGUGGCGAACGGGUGAGUAACACGUGAGUAACCUGCCCCCUUCUUCUGGAUAACCGCAUGAAAGUGUGGCUAAUACGGGAUAUUCUGGGUCUGUCGCAUGAUGGGUCUGGGAAAGAUAUUGUUUCGGUGGGGGAUGGGCUCGCGGCCUAUCAGCUUGUUGGUGGGGUGAUGGCCUACCAAGGCGGUGACGGGUAGCCGGCCUGAGAGGGUGGACGGUCACACUGGGACUGAGACACGGCCCAGACUCCUACGGGAGGCAGCAGUGGGGAAUAUUGCACAAUGAGCGCAAGCCUGAUGCAGCGACGCCGCGUGAGGGAUGGAGGCCUUCGGGUUGUGAACCUCUUUCGCCAGUGAAGCAGGCCUGCCUCGUUUGUGGGUGGGUUGACGGUAGCUGGAUAAGAAGCGCCGGCUAACUACGUG